AGGAUCAUGUGUACAAGCUUCUCUGCUUGCUCUCAGGACAAUUUUCACCAAUUGGCAAGAGCAUCCAAAUCCAGAGAGGGGAUAUUUGAGGGAUACUCACACAGUGGAUUAGUCAAUCGAGAAAAAAAUCAUCACCGAGUCAUUCAACUAGAUUUUGUUAUUUACAAAGCUACUAAAUUUUAUUUGAGAGAUCGCCAACACUUUUGAUCUAUUAGCUGUUCUUCAUGAUAGCUGCAAAAUAAGAACUCAUUCAUGUGUAGAAGCACAAUUUAUACCGUGAAACUAAUUCCACUUACAUAUAUAAGCCUUUGAGAAUGGAAAAUUUCUUAUUUACA
Long non-coding RNA from Populus euphratica (Euphrates poplar), 335 nucleotides. RefSeq lists it as uncharacterized. The transcript has 2 exons. The record is from RefSeq and is a predicted model, not a curated record. Lineage: Eukaryota; Viridiplantae; Streptophyta; Magnoliopsida; Malpighiales; Salicaceae.